Long non-coding RNA from Etheostoma spectabile (orangethroat darter), 352 nucleotides. RefSeq lists it as uncharacterized. NCBI's taxonomy places the organism in Eukaryota, Metazoa, Chordata, Actinopteri, Perciformes, Percidae. The transcript has 3 exons. The record is from RefSeq and is a predicted model, not a curated record.
UGUAUACACAAGAAGACUAAAAGAAAAAGUGUGCUCAGUGGUUUGCCUCCUGACUGGCAACUAUUGAAAAGAUGUACCAGCUUUUUGAACUCAUCUUCGGCUUUUGUUUUGCAAAUAUCCUACUUUUUUCUGUAAUAAUAAGUUUAGAUAUUUCAUUCUUUUAUUGUUAUCCCUUUUUUAUUUUUCACCAAAUUGAGCGUAAGCCUGUCAUUGUUUUGUUGUUCUAUUUGCCAUAUUGAGUUUCAGUUGUAGUUAUGUCAUGCCCCAUUUUUUUUAAGUUUUAGUGACCUGGUGAGGUUUCACUGUAAGCCCCACACAGGUUUCUGAUCUCUCCAGCACACACUCUCUCUCU